Molecule: ribosomal RNA, 480 nt
Filed under: uncultured bacterium
Lineage: Bacteria
Description: partial 16S ribosomal RNA
Rfam family: Bacterial small subunit ribosomal RNA
Source: RNAcentral
GACGAACGCUGGCGGCGCGCCUAACACAUGCAAGUCGAGCGAUGAAAUUUUAACCGAUCUCUUCGGAGAGAAGAUAAAAUGGAUUAGCGGCGGACGGGUGAGUAACACGUGAGAAACCUGCCUUUCACAAGGGGAUAGCCUCGGGAAACCGGGAUUAAUACCCUAUGACACAUUUCCUUCGCAUGGAAGAAAUGUUAAAACUCCGGUGGUGAAAGAUGGUCUCGCGCCUGAUUAGCUAGUUGGUGGGGUAACGGCCCACCAAGGCCAUGAUCAGUAACCGGCAUGAGAAGGUGAACGAUCACAAUGGAACUGAGACACGGUCCAAACUCCUACGGGAGGCAGCAGUGGGGAAUAUUGCACAAUGGAGGAAACUCUGAUGCAGCGACGCCGCGUGAGAGAUGAAGGCUUUCGAGUCGUAAAGCUCUGUCCUAUGGGAAGAUAAUGACGGUACCAGAGGAGGAAGCCCCGGCUAACUACGUG